This 252-nucleotide ribosomal RNA is filed under the name uncultured bacterium. RNAcentral describes it as "partial 16S ribosomal RNA". It matches the Rfam family "Bacterial small subunit ribosomal RNA", at positions 57 to 305 of the family's 1533-position model. The record is from RNAcentral.
GCAAGUCGAACGGAAACGAUGGAAGCUUGCUUCCAGGCGUCGAGUGGCGGACGGGUGCGUAACGCGUGGGAAUCUACCUUAGAGUUGGGGAUAAGCCUUGGAAACAGGGUCUAAUACCGAAUACGGUCUACGGACUAAAGUGUGCCUCUGCUUGCAAGCACACGCUUUAAGAUGAGCCCGCGUCCGAUUAGCUGGUUGGUAGGGUAAAGGCCUACCAAGGCGACGAUCGGUAGCUGGUCUGAGAGGAUGAUC